AAAGAAAGAUCGAAGCCAGACUAUGAGAAUCGUAAGCCGAAAGCCAGACUGUGAGAGUCGUAAGCCAGGGUAAGUUUGGUGCUACCCCUUUUUGUUUUUCUUAUAAAGAAUUAGAAUUGAGAGAAGUAUUGUUGAAAUUGUGAUUAAAAUAUUAUAGAAUAUGAUUUUGGACUGAUCAUUUUGGAGAAGAUCUGUAGAAUUGAGAUUAUCAAAUUGUGUUGUGUUAAGUAAAGAUAUUGAAUUUUGUGUCAUGAAUUAAAAAACUGAAUAUAAUAAGUAAGCUGGAGUUCAGUAAUUGAAUAUAUAAAGCACAAAGACAGUGAGCGGGAGAUGAACUGAUAAGAAUAUGGAAGUAUUGUUGAAUUGAUAGUCGUAGAAUGGAUUAUGUAUUGAAUUAAGAUAGAAGUAGUAAGCCUUGGUAUUUUGUAGUUGAUAAUUGAUUUCAGAUAG
This 450-nucleotide long non-coding RNA is filed under the name Physcomitrium patens. RNAcentral's name for it is "long non-coding RNA (PPAT_LNC000010)". The record is from RNAcentral. Lineage: Eukaryota; Viridiplantae; Streptophyta; Bryopsida; Funariales; Funariaceae.